UUCCAGACUCCUACGGGAGGCAGCAGUGGGGGAUAUUGCACAAUGGGGGAAACCCUGAUGCAGCGACGCCGCGUGAGUGAAGAAGUAUUUCGGUAUGUAAAGCUCUAUCAGCAGGGACGAAAAUGACGGUACCUGAGUAAGAAGCCCCGGCUAACUACGUGCCAGCAGCCGCGGUAAUACGUAGGGGGCAAGCGUUAUCCGGAUUUACUGGGUGUAAAGGGAGCGUAGACGGCUGUGCAAGCCAGAUGUGAAAGCCCGGGGCUCAACCCCGGGACUGCAUUUGGAACUGUGUAGCUGGAGUGUCGGAGAGGCAGGCGGAAUUCCUAGUGUAGCGGUGAAAUGCGUAGAUAUUAGGAGGAACACCAGUGGCGAAGGCGGCCUGCUGGACGAUGACUGACGUUGAGGCUCGAAAGCGUGGGGAGCAAACAGGAUUAGGUACCCCUGUAA
Molecule: ribosomal RNA, 447 nt
Filed under: uncultured bacterium
Lineage: Bacteria
Description: bacterial SSU rRNA
Rfam family: Bacterial small subunit ribosomal RNA
Source: RNAcentral